GACGAACGCUGGCGGCGUGCUUAACACAUGCAAGUCGAACGUGAUUUUUAAGGAAAGCCCUUCGGGGUGGGAAUUAAAAUGAAAGUGGCGAACGGGUGAGUAACACGUGAGCAACCUACCUUACACAGGGGGAUAGCCGUUGGAAACGACGAUUAAUACCGCAUGAGACCACAGAAUCGCAUGAUAUAGGGGUCAAAGAUUUAUCGGUGUAAGAAGGGCUCGCGUCUGAUUAGCUAGUUGGAAGGGUAAAGGCCUACCAAGGCGACGAUCAGUAGCCGGUCUGAGAGGAUGAACGGCCACAUUGGAACUGAGACACGGUCCAAACUCCUACGGGAGGCAGCAGUGGGGAAUAUUGCACAAUGGGGGGAACCCUGAUGCAGCGACGCCGCGUGAGCGAAGAAGGUUUUCGAAUCGUAAAGCUCUGUC
Molecule: ribosomal RNA, 426 nt
Filed under: Parvimonas micra
Lineage: Bacteria; Bacillati; Bacillota; Tissierellia; Tissierellales; Peptoniphilaceae
Description: bacterial SSU rRNA
Rfam family: Bacterial small subunit ribosomal RNA
Source: RNAcentral